This 448-nucleotide ribosomal RNA is filed under the name uncultured bacterium. Its description in RNAcentral is "partial 16S ribosomal RNA". It matches the Rfam family "Bacterial small subunit ribosomal RNA", at positions 329 to 793 of the family's 1533-position model. The record is from RNAcentral.
UUCCAGACUCCUACGGGAGGCAGCAGUGGGGAAUAUUGCACAAUGGGGGGAACCCUGAUGCAGCGACGCCGCGUGAGGGAAGAAGGUUUUUGGAUUGUAAACCUCUGUCCUUGGUAAAGAAGCAAGACGGUAACCAAGGAGGAAGCCACGGCUAACUCCGUGCCAGCAGCCGCGGUAAUACGGAGGGUGCGAGCGUUAAUCGGAAUUACUGGGCGUAAAGCGCUCGUAGGCGGUAUGUCAAGUCAAGGGUGAAAUCCCCGCGCUCAACGUGGGAACUGCCUUUGAAACUGGCAAACUGGAAUGUGUGAGAGGAUAGUGGAAUUCCAGGUGUAGGAGUGAAAUCCGUAGAUAUCUGGAGGAACAUCAGUGGCGAAGGCGACUAUCUGGCACAUAACUGACGCUGAGGAGCGAAAGCGUGGGUAGCAAACAGGAUUAGAUACCCGUGUAA